RNAcentral lists this ribosomal RNA (253 nucleotides) under uncultured bacterium. RNAcentral's name for it is "partial 16S ribosomal RNA". It matches the Rfam family "Bacterial small subunit ribosomal RNA", at positions 524 to 776 of the family's 1533-position model. The record is from RNAcentral.
UACGUAGGUGGCAAGCGUUGUCCGGAAUUAUUGGGCGUAAAGCGCGCGCAGGCGGUUUCUUAAGUCUGAUGUGAAAGCCCACGGCUCAACCGUGGAGGGUCAUUGGAAACUGGGAAACUUGAGUGCAGAAGAGAAGAGCGGAAUUCCACGUGUAGCGGUGAAAUGCGUAGAGAUGUGGAGGAACACCAGUGGCGAAGGCGGCUCUUUGGUCUGCGACUGACGCUGUGGCGCGAAAGCUAGGGGAGCAAACGGG